This is a long non-coding RNA of Calidris pugnax (ruff), 2223 nucleotides long. RefSeq lists it as uncharacterized. The record is from RefSeq and is a predicted model, not a curated record. Lineage: Eukaryota; Metazoa; Chordata; Aves; Charadriiformes; Scolopacidae. The transcript is spliced from 3 exons.
CGGGGCUGUCUCCCGGCGUGUCGCGCCCUCCCUGACUCGUUUUUUUACACCUGAAGGGAGCUUAAAGCUGAGGAGGCAGCGCGGGGAGGAGCAGCAGCGUCCGGCUGUCUCGGCCGUGCUGAAGAAGCUGCAGGCGGUCAGUACGGCUUGUCUAUGACAUGGGAAGAACCAUAGACCUGUCUAUGAAAAUAACUAAUCAGGCGUAGGGCAGGACAGAAAAUACAAAUCCUUCGUGACCGUCUCUCAAUCUGACAUUCGUGUGAGUCCUGACUAAAAUACUACUUCUAACACUGCACAUUUAAUCUAAGAAAUCCUGCGGGUUUGGGGCAUAGUCUGGAUUUUAAGCCAAUGCGAUUCAGAUCCCCAGUGCCCUGAUUCACAGCACUUAAAACUCUACUCUGUUGCCUGCAAUCCGCAUUUAGAAGGUAGAUCACUGCUGCCAACAAGCACAUGUAUUUUCAGAUUUUUAUGGUGACAACCUUUAGAAAAAAAAAGCAAAAAUACUUGUAAGCACUCUUAUUGCAUGCACAUACUUAUCAUUCAUCUGUAAAGCAACUAGUUUUGGUGAGAUUGCUAUCAAAGCUCUGGAUUUAGAAUAAAAACAACAUGAGUACAGCUAUGGUAUACAAUAAAAAUUUACUAGUGUUUUUAAGAUUCACAAUAUAAUUUGUUCAGGCUUUUCCUUUAUAUUAAUUAACGUAUUUAAAAACAGGAGAACAGUAUUUUUCUGGUUCAUAAUUAGAAUUAAACCAAUUGCAGUAAAGUGAAUAUGGAACAAAUGGGAUUUCUGAGGCAAAUCAAAAAGUACAUAAACUCCAAAUGAAAUGUUUGAGUAAUAGACUGUAGUAGGAUUUAGACAUUCCUUACUAUGAUUCUAGUAAAACUGUGCUGGUAACUUUACCCUGCUUCUAAGCAUAUUUGAAAUACUUCUUGUAAUCAGAUUAUACCAGAUGCUGGGGAAGGUUUGGAGUCUAGGACUGCAUGUUGAACCACAGACAACUAGGCAGAUCUACCAGCUUGGAAAAGUAACCUAAACCCCUAAACCACAGAUGAGCCCAUUGCCUUCUCCUCACAGCUGACUUCAGGAGCACAGAAGAAUUUAAAAUGAGAGUGAAGCGUCUCAGAAAACUCGGUCACAGCCAGUGGAGACCCUCCCAGCUGUCAGCAAGAAGGAAACACACCCUCCUGGGUAGCUUCCCUCACAGCUGCUUUAGCUGCUUUUAGAGCCAGGCCCUGGAUCAUCCAAAUGACAGGCAAAGAAUUUGUGUUGCUCUCAUAACCCCCUGUGCAUUGGCGCUUAGGGAACUCCAUAUCCUUUUAAAGAGUUGACAACCAGCCUCAGUGUAAAUACUAAUUUUCUAAAAUUGCUGGUGUGGCAAUUAUAAUUUCAAAUAAAAUUUUAUGUGCCUUUUCACCAAAGAAGGCGCUUAAAGGCUUUCCGCUAUAAGCAGGUUCAACCAAAAUAUGAUCUCGCAAUUCUUCAAGUUCCAACUGGUGGGAGAAGAAAGGAGGCAGCAGAUGAAUUGAGCUACAAUACCCUUGAAUCCUCCAUCCCAGAGCCUCAGACGUAGAAGAAUUAACCAGGGAGGGGGCAUAACCUCUCCUGGCCAGCCUUUUCUGUGCAUGGACGUUCCUCCCACCACGCAGCAGCCACCAGCCCCCUGCCAUCCGUGUCACCUGGAGCUCAGCUGUCCCUCAGAGCCCCAGCACAAGCACUAACAGGAGCAAGGAGGUGACAGACCUGCCCCGACUCUUCUCCAGCUGCUGCCCUACAGCCGCCAGGCGUUAAGAAGGACUUCUCUGGAACACGUGGAGCAACAGGUGGACUUAGGUGACAGUCCUGCUCCAGGAGUGCCUCAGGGACACUAAGGCCAUGAUAGGAACCAGUCCUUUUCUGCUCCCCAGCAUGACGACCCCCAGUAACGCUGUCUUGCUGUUGCACUGGCAUCAGCUCUGCCUUUGAAGCUGGAAAUGGUUUAUGGGUGUGAUAGGGUGAAGGUGGCUGCUUGUACCGCUUGUUGGUGAGCCUGGCCCCUAGUGUCAUUGUAUCCUACGUAAAGACUCAGUUCAAAACAUGAAGGCUAAAACCCAUUUCUAAAAGUUAGUAUUUCUACAGUGAUGUAAAAUCCAGAGGGACCAUGACAAACUUCAACCCCUUUCUCUUUACAUUGAGAGAUGUUUGUUAGAUGUUGCCUCCUCUAACAGUUCAAAGCCUCGCUCUAU